RNAcentral lists this ribosomal RNA (477 nucleotides) under uncultured bacterium. Its description in RNAcentral is "bacterial SSU rRNA". It matches the Rfam family "Bacterial small subunit ribosomal RNA", at positions 30 to 500 of the family's 1533-position model. The record is from RNAcentral.
AUUGAACGCUGGCGGCAUGCCUUACACAUGCAAGUCGAACGGCAGCACGGGAGCAAUCCUGGUGGCGAGUGGCGAACGGGUGAGUAAUAUAUCGGAACGUGCCCAGUCGUGGGGAUAACGUAGCGAAAGCUACGCUAAUACCGCAUACGAUCUACGGAUGAAAGCGGGGGAUCGCAAGACCUCGCGCGAUUGGAGCGGCCGAUAUCAGAUUAGGUAGUUGGUGAGGUAAAGGCUCACCAAGCCGACGAUCUGUAGCUGGUCUGAGAGGACGACCAGCCACACUGGGACUGAGACACGGCCCAGACUCCUACGGGAGGCAGCAGUGGGGAAUUUUUGGACAAUGGGCGCAAGCCUGAUCCAGCAAUGCCGCGUGCAGGAUGAAGGCCUUCGGUUGUAAACUGCUUUGUUACGGUACGAAACGGUGAGCUCUAAUACAGUUGUCUAAUGACGGUACCGUAAGAAUAAGACACCGGCUAA